Molecule: ribosomal RNA, 521 nt
Filed under: Staphylococcus aureus
Lineage: Bacteria; Bacillati; Bacillota; Bacilli; Caryophanales; Staphylococcaceae
Description: bacterial SSU rRNA
Rfam family: Bacterial small subunit ribosomal RNA
Source: RNAcentral
UUUUAUGGAGAGUUUGAUCCUGGCUCAGGAUGAACGCUGGCGGCGUGCCUAAUACAUGCAAGUCGAGCGAACGGACGAGAAGCUUGCUUCUCUGAUGUUAGCGGCGGACGGGUGAGUAACACGUGGAUAACCUACCUAUAAGACUGGGAUAACUUCGGGAAACCGGAGCUAAUACCGGAUAAUAUUUUGAACCGCAUGGUUCAAAAGUGAAAGACGGUCUUGCUGUCACUUAUAGAUGGAUCCGCGCUGCAUUAGCUAGUUGGUAAGGUAACGGCUUACCAAGGCAACGAUGCAUAGCCGACCUGAGAGGGUGAUCGGCCACACUGGAACUGAGACACGGUCCAGACUCCUACGGGAGGCAGCAGUAGGGAAUCUUCCGCAAUGGGCGAAAGCCUGACGGAGCAACGCCGCGUGAGUGAUGAAGGUCUUCGGAUCGUAAAACUCUGUUAUUAGGGAAGAACAUAUGUGUAAGUAACUGUGCACAUCUUGACGGUACCUAAUCAGAAAGCCACGGCUAACUA